AUGGCCUUCUUUGAAUUCUUGCAAAACCUCUCUGCAAUUCCUGAAGCCUCCACGACACUGUGUUUUCCCGGAACAGUCCUGCUGUUGACGCAUGUGGAGGCGUGGGCCCUCGCUCUGAAGCGUGUCCAGCCCCACUUGUGCGGCCUUUCAUCCGCUGAGCCCCCAAGGAGCUGCUGGCCCGCACUUGGCUUCUGCAGAAGUGAGCCUCUGCCGACCGCCUUCUGGUCCAGGUCAGAACCAGAACCGCACUCAGGGCCCACGACCCCCAGCUCUCCGCUGAGGGAGUUUCCACUCUCUGGCUGGGGCGGACAGCGGACGCACAAAACAACGAGGCGCUGGGCGAGCAACGCGGCAGGUGGGGCUCCGCGUGCUUCUCUGCUCUCCCCUGCCGCCCCCGCCCUCCCUCACAGCGCCUCAACCCCACUGACCCUCGGCCCGUUCCCCCCCCCCACGACCUUUGUCCCCGGGGUGGUCUUCUGCUGCCCUGCAGGUGGCUGGACCCUGCAGUGACGUCAUCCGCCCGAGCUCCUGUCACAGUUGUCUUGGCUACUUCUGUUCUCCCUGCUCUACACUGCAAGUCCCGAGAGGGCACACACCCUCUGUGUCUGGUUUGCACACUGCCCUAGCCCAUCCCACGGACCUCAACCAAGGUGGGAUGAUGAAAGAGCAAUUGGGGGAAUGCAAGGCAGACCCUCAGUGGAGUCAACAGAAAGAGAUGGCAGAGGUAAGAGUACUAAUUCCACUGGGAGUCCGGGGUGGCUUCCCGGGGGAGGUGGUAUUUGAGCUCGGAGAAUCCUCCAGCUGCGGCCCACACAAUGUCCUCCCAUCUCCUGUGGAAGUUCACGGGCUGUGUGUUAACUCAACACAGGGGUCGGGUUCCACAGUGACCGGAUGGUGCAGAUCAUCCAAGUGUUUUAACACUUGGAACUGGAUCGGCAGUUUCCAGGGGAACCCAGAAUCGGAGUGUGUGAUUGUUGGGAGGGGGAUUUGGGGGUAGACAAGUACUGGCUAUGGAGAGAGCUUGGUAGUAGAACCUCUGUGUGUGCGCACACAUGUGUGCAGGUGUGUGCAUGUGUAAGUGUGUCUUCCAAAGCAUAUCUUCCAGGAACCGUGGUAUCCGAUGCGAGCAAAUAUUUGAUCAGUGUCUUCUCCGUGCAGGGCCUCUGCCUUCCGUUUGUGUGAACCCACACACACUGCACCUCCACCCCACCCCCAACAGUAAGGGGCCCCAUGCGUAUGCUCCCAGCCUGCGGACCGAGUCCUGCCCCUGCAGCCACAUGGAGACCACCCUGGGGAAGGGGCUGGGGGCCCGCUGGUGUCCCCGUGGUGAGGAGUGCCUGCGCUGUCACUGGUUCUUCCCGGUGUGUGGGCUGCUGGUGAGGACCUCAUCCUCCCUCAGGACUGAGACAGCGUGGGGAGGAGGAGGGGCAGCCGCGCGUGCCGUCCCAGCUCCUCCUCUUCCCUCCACCUGUGACUACUCCGGACCUCAGCAUCCUGUAAAACAGCAACUCCUGACAAGCGCCGCCGCGACUCCCAACAACUGACGCUGCAAAGAAAAACCUCUCCCAUCUCCGAGACCCGACGAGGUGACCAGAGCCGGAGUGAGGGCCGGGGACACCCGCAAAACAGGCAAACAGGACGUCAGCCAAGAGCCAGGAGCAAUGGCAGCUGCAUGGCAGGGCUGGGAAGGGGGCGUUGUCGGGAGGCUCCGUAAGGCCAGGGUGAGAACACACGGCGGGGAGGGCUCCACGGAGGUAAUGUGGAAAACCACACUCGGAGUUCAAAUGUUUUUGCGCCAAAGUAAACUCUUAUUUUUAAAGAUCUAUUUAUUUAUUUGAAAGUCAGAGUUUGGGGGCAGGGGAGGGAGAAACAGAGAGAGAGAGAGAGAGAGAGAGAGCGCGCGAGCGAGCAAGCUUCCAUCUGUCAGUUUACUCCCCAGAUCGGAAGUGGAGCAGCCAGGUCUUGAACUGGUACCCAUAUGGGAUGCAGGCAGUGAGUUUACCCACUAUGGCACAAUGCUGACCCCAAACUUGUCUUUUUAUUUCGUUUUUCCAUAAAUUUUUUGAAGUCCUCUAGUAUGUCUAGUAUGUAGCAGUCAGAGAGAAAAUUCCGCACUGAAAAUCAAAUGUAUGUUUUUUUAUGAAAAUGUCAGUUGCUAAAACUAAAAAACUCCUGGGAAAAAUCGGAAGAAAGUCAGUGAAAGACAUCUCAACACAAUUUGCAUCUUUUAGGAAAAGCGACCGGUUUAAAUAGCUUCAUGGAGUAUUUUUCCCCCAAACAAUUAAAAAAUUUAUUUCAAGAAAUAAGUCAUUUCCAAGAUGUAUCAAUUAUUUCAGAAUGUUCAAAAAAGCAUUAAAUGAUAUCAACUUACAAAUUAGAAUAUUGCUAACAACCAUCUUUGCUGAAGAUCAUAUGCAAAAUAUACAUCGAGAAGACGAGAUCCCCAGUGAAUUUACAUGUGAAAAUUCCAAAUUAAUAUGGACAUGUAUCAGGCUUCAGAAUUAUGUUAACAAGAUAAUGAGCUAUGAUUAAGUGGGGUUUGCGGGAGUUGAAACCUUUUAACAUAUUUACCAAGUGAAAAAUCAUAAGAAAAAAUAUGAUUCUACCUUUUAAAUUGUAGCUACAUAAAGAAAUCUGAAAAGCAAGAACAUUAAACUGGAAUUCAAGAAAACAAACAGCUCUUACUCUCCCCAAGGCCAUGGAGACAAGGACGAGGAAGAGGACUGGCAGGGAGGGGCUGCGAGCCUCCCCCCCCACCCCGGGAGCUCCCGAGGUUGCAGAACACAAACUCUCCCAGGGAGCAGACACCUGCCCCCACGUUCUUUUCCCAGAUGUGGCUCCUGGAAAAUGCGGGCCCCGGGAGGCAGUGGGGAUGGCUCAUGGAAGCAGAUCCCUGCCACCCACCUGGGAGACCUGGACUGAAUCGUGGCUCCCAAUCUCAGCACAGCCCAUCUCAGCCAUUGAGGACUUUAUGGGAGUGAACCAGCAGAGGAGAGCACGUUGUGUGUGUGUGUGUGUAUGUGUGUCACUCUUUGUUUUUUUGUUUGUUUGUUUUUUUGUUUUUGUUUUGACAGGCAGAGUUAGACAGUGAGAGAGAGAGAGACAGACAGAAAGGUCUUCCUUCCGUUGGUUCACCCCCCAAAUGGCUGCUAUGGCCGGCGCACUGCACCAAUCCGAAGCCAGGAUCCAGGUGCUUCCUCCUGGUCUCCCAUGUGGGUGCAGGGCCCAAGCACUUGGGCCAUCCUCCACUGCCUUCCCAGGCCACAGCAGAGAGCUGGACUGGAAGAGGAGCAACCGGGACAGAACCAACGCCCCAACCAGGACUAGAACUCAGGGUGCCGGCGCCGCAGGUGGAGGAUUAGCCUAGUGAGCCGUGGUGCUGGCCUCUCUGACUUUCAAAUACAUGAAUCUUUUUUCAAAGUAUUUUUAAACAAAGGAGACAACAAGACAAGUCAAAAAAAAAAAAAAGGCAAAUCCUUUUACUGACCAUUCACCCAAGAAGAUCUAUGAGUGGCCAAUAUCAUGAAUACAGACUAAUCGAUAAUAAUUAUUGCUAAUAAUAUUUGCAUGGAUUAAAGACAUGCCAAUCAAAAUCAGGAGCGAUCUCACUAUCUACACCUGUUGGAAAGACUCAAUCAAGAAGACUGACCAUGUCGAAGGUUGGAAAAAAACGUUGUGACACCGGAAUCCUUACAGGAUGUAACUAACACCCUCUGUUGCUGUUCUGGGGUUUCUGAACGAUGCUCGCAGCCGGGAGCGUUGCAGGGGCUGCUCGGGCAGAAUUCGAGCUCAGUGUUUGUUCUGUUCCUGGGUUGCUGCGACCUUUUCCUUGCACAGAGCGCAUACCGCAUCGCUAAUGUUUCACAACUCCUCCCAGCGAGACAGGACACACGGCUCUCACCACAGUUCCUGGCAGGCAGCAGGUACUUGCUAUGUACAGGAGCCCUUCAUAAAGUGUGUGCAAAAGUGGAACAAAAAGAAAAGUUUACUUUGAGCCAGAGAAAUUUGAAAUCCAUGUAUAGCUUUUGCAUCAUGUGUGUGUUCUGCAAGUUUUUUUGGAAACCCCUUGAAGCCACAGAUUUCAAAUAUUUUUGCACCAAAAUAAAUGUAUCUUUUAAUUCUAUUUCCCA
This 4130-nucleotide long non-coding RNA is filed under the name Oryctolagus cuniculus (rabbit). RNAcentral describes it as "lncRNA (ENSOCUG00000031552.1)". The record is from RNAcentral. Lineage: Eukaryota; Metazoa; Chordata; Mammalia; Lagomorpha; Leporidae.